This 792-nucleotide ribosomal RNA is filed under the name uncultured Streptomyces sp. RNAcentral describes it as "bacterial SSU rRNA". It matches the Rfam family "Bacterial small subunit ribosomal RNA", at positions 48 to 855 of the family's 1533-position model. The record is from RNAcentral. Lineage: Bacteria; Bacillati; Actinomycetota; Actinomycetes; Kitasatosporales; Streptomycetaceae.
UUAACACAUGCAAGUCGAACGAUGAAGCCCUUCGGGGUGGAUUAGUGGCGAACGGGUGAGUAACACGUGGGCAAUCUGCCCUUCACUCUGGGACAAGCCCUGGAAACGGGGUCUAAUACCGGAUAACACCUGCCUGGGCAUCUGGGUGGGUUAAAAGCUCCGGCGGUGAAGGAUGAGCCCGCGGCCUAUCAGCUUGUUGGUGAGGUAGUGGCUCACCAAGGCGACGACGGGUAGCCGGCCUGAGAGGGCGACCGGCCACACUGGGACUGAGACACGGCCCAGACUCCUACGGGAGGCAGCAGUGGGGAAUAUUGCACAAUGGGCGAAAGCCUGAUGCAGCGACGCCGCGUGAGGGAUGACGGCCUUCGGGUUGUAAACCUCUUUCAGCAGGGAAGAAGCGAGAGUGACGGUACCUGCAGAAGAAGCGCCGGCUAACUACGUGCCAGCAGCCGCGGUAAUACGUAGGGCGCAAGCGUUGUCCGGAAUUAUUGGGCGUAAAGAGCUCGUAGGCGGCUUGUCACGUCGGGUGUGAAAGCCCGGGGCUUAACCCCGGGUCUGCAUUCGAUACGGGCUAGCUAGAGUGUGGUAGGGGAGAUCGGAAUUCCUGGUGUAGCGGUGAAAUGCGCAGAUAUCAGGAGGAACACCGGUGGCGAAGGCGGAUCUCUGGGCCAUUACUGACGCUGAGGAGCGAAAGCGUGGGGAGCGAACAGGAUUAGAUACCCUGGUAGUCCACGCCGUAAACGGUGGGAACUAGGUGUUGGCGACAUUCCACGUCGUCGGUGCCGCAGCUAA